UGAGGAAUAUUGGUCAAUGGGCGAGAGCCUGAACCAGCCAAGUAGCGUGCAGGAUGACGGCCCUAUGGGUUGUAAACUGCUUUUAUGUGGGGAUAAAGUGCGUGACGUGUCAUGCAUUGCAGGUACCACAUGAAUAAGGUCCGGCUAAAUACGUGCCAGCAGCCGCGGUAAUACGUAUGGACCGAGCGUUGUCCGGAAUCAUUGGGCGUAAAGGGUACGUAGGCGGCCCAGUAAGUUAGAAGUGAAAUAAUAUAGCUCAACUAUAUAAAGCUUUUAAAACUGCUAGGCUUGAGAGAUGGAAGGGAAAGUGGAAUUCCUAGUGUAGCGGUGAAAUGCGCAGAUAUUAGGAAGAAUACCGGUGGCGAAGGCGACUUUCUGGUCAUCAUCUGACGCUGAGGUACGAAAGCGUGGGUAGCAAACAGG
Molecule: ribosomal RNA, 423 nt
Filed under: Verrucomicrobiota bacterium
Lineage: Bacteria; Pseudomonadati; Verrucomicrobiota
Description: Verrucomicrobia bacterium partial 16S ribosomal RNA
Rfam family: Bacterial small subunit ribosomal RNA
Source: RNAcentral